UACGAAGGGGGCUAGCGUUGCUCGGAAUCACUGGGCGUAAAGGGUGCGUAGGCGGGUCUUUAAGUCAGGGGGGAAAUCCUGGAGCCCAACUCCAGAACUGCCUUUGAUACUGAAGAUCUUGAGUUCGGGAGAGGUGAGUGGAACUGCGAGUGUAGAGGUGAAAUUCGUAGAUAUUCGGAAGAACACCAGUGGCGAAGGCGACUCACUGGACACGUAUUGACGCUGAGGUGCGAAAGCGUGGGGAGCAAACAGG
RNAcentral lists this ribosomal RNA (253 nucleotides) under uncultured bacterium. RNAcentral describes it as "partial 16S ribosomal RNA". It matches the Rfam family "Bacterial small subunit ribosomal RNA", at positions 524 to 776 of the family's 1533-position model. The record is from RNAcentral.